ACUCAGACAUUUUCAGUCUGUCAUAGAGGUCUUCCCUGGGUCAGCCUGGAGAGAAAAACGUCAGCCAUUGCAAGCUACUACUAAGCUCAUUUUAGCACAGUGACCCAUGGAUUUCCUCCACUGUGUACCCUGCUAACAGGAAGCCGAGGCUAAGAGAAGUGGCCCUAUCUCAGUUGUGUAGGGCAGGGCCCUAGGCUCUGUCUAAAUAUCCAUAAGCUGGUUUCCUUCAACAUUUGCCUCUGUCCUGAGCAAUGGGGAAGCUCUGAAAAUCUUUUUCCUCUGGGCACUCCAUAUGAGCUCAGGAAGUGCCUCACAUACAGAGUGGGGGUUAGUUACUCACAGGAGCCUGCCACACAAGGCUUAACUGUUGUUUAGCCCCAGAGCAAACGUCCAGCCACUGGGAAUGAACUCUGGCUUAUGAGCUUCUGGGCUGCUUCAUCCUACUACUCUCCCUCCACUGGACAUGUGUUUAAAGCUCAAGAGGAGAGAAGAGGUGAAUGAUAGAAUUCUUGGUGCUCAAGACCAACUCAUCUCCUGGGAAGCCCUGACUCCUUGAAUUUCUGCCUGAGUGAGAAACAACAUUCAUUGUUGGUAGCAAGGUAAGCCUUCAGCUCUGUUUGCUAUUGAGUGGGAUCUAAAUGAAUUGGUGGAUUCUGUGCUGGUUAGCUUUUUGUCAGCUUGUCACUAUAUGGGGUCAUCUGAGAAGCAGAAACUUCAGUUGAGAAUAUGCCUCCAUCAGCUUAGCCUGUAGACAAUCUGAAGUGCAUUUUCUUGAUUAGUGAGUGAUGUGGGAGGGCCCAGCUUACUGUGUGCUGUGCCAUACCUGGGAAGGUAGGCCUGGGUUGUAUAAGAAUGCAGAAGUGCCCUUCCAGUCAGUGCCAGCUCCGGGCCACCUUGGGCUCCAACUUGGCAGAUGGUUCCAUGGUCCCCAGAGGACUCUCCAUGCUGCAGUCCCCCUAGCAUGUCCAGGAUCUUAGGAUAACUGGUGAGUGGAAUGCAACAUCUAUUUCAAAACAAUGGAGAGGGGCCUGUGACAGCAGAAGCAAUGACACAGGAGCCCUGCCUGACCAGCGACUUGGGUUCCCUUCUGGUCAGAGCUGGUAUACCUUGGUUUUGAACACAGCAGACAGCCUCACGGUCCCCAGAAGAGACACCACUUCCAGGUGCUGUAACAUGCCCAGGAUCUAAGGUUCCAGGAUACCAGGAUACCAGGACACCAGGAGCAUGAUCACAAGAGGAUCUCAGAGUCUCAGAGGAAGCUUGACUGCCAAAAACUCUGACACACCCAGAAUCUCAGGUUCACAGAAUACUAGAAUCACUGGAUCACAGAGAAAGCUGGACUCUGAAGAGUCCUGAAUCAACCAGGAUAAUAGGAAGGACAGGCUCCAAUCAGAUAUAUUGAGGGCAGGGAGCACUUGAGAUAAUCAGAUGGCAGGAAGUAAUCAUAAGAACAGAAGCAACAGAAACCAAGGUUACUUGGCACUGUCAGAACCAAAUUCUCCCACUUUAGCAAGUCCUGGAUGCACCAUCACACCAGAAAAGCAAAAUAUGGAUCUAAAGUCACUUCUCAUGAUGAUAAUGGAGGACUUUAAGAAGGAAAUAAACAACUCCCUUAAAGAAAUACAGAAGAACACAUUCAAUCAGGUGAAAGAAUUGAACAACACCAUCCAGGAUCUAAAAAUAGAAAU
RNAcentral lists this long non-coding RNA (1688 nucleotides) under Mus musculus (house mouse). RNAcentral's name for it is "long non-coding RNA chr5:28577272-28578960". The record is from RNAcentral. Lineage: Eukaryota; Metazoa; Chordata; Mammalia; Rodentia; Muridae.